This is a long non-coding RNA of Hyla sarda, 710 nucleotides long. RefSeq lists it as uncharacterized. The record is from RefSeq and is a predicted model, not a curated record. The transcript is spliced from 4 exons. Lineage: Eukaryota; Metazoa; Chordata; Amphibia; Anura; Hylidae.
GGGCAACUUUGCCUCUGAACAGGUUUUGAUAAAUCUCCCCCUAUAUAAUUAGAAAAAAAGAGAGGCGACUAGGGGCUGUCCCACCUGAGGGACCCAACCUGAGCGUAGUAACUCUGACUUUGGGGACCACCACACUAGGGUCCAACGUUGGAGCAGCGAUAACCUGCAAGGAGGGCUCCUGGGCUGGAGAAUGAGAACCCUCUAUAUUCAAGGUCCACGUUUUACUUUCCUCUUCAGAUAAGCUCUGUUUGUAAGGCUCUACGUAAAUCCUGCGUACAUUUGUUUUUGACUCACCGUACUUGGAUUUACUAUCUUCUGGCAAACUUGCAGUAUGAGGGUUAUGAUGAAGAGAGAACGGUAUUCGGGAUUAUGCCACUUUCUUUAAAUAGAGAAGGUGCCUGGAGCCACGUGCCUUCGUAUGACUGACAUUUUAGGGCCAGGAACGGCUAUUGAGAGCUAAGAGCACCUCUGUCACAGGCAAUGAGGGGGGUGACAAUCGGAGAGUUGUAUUUGCCUUCAGGAACAGCCCUUUGAAUUCUACGAUAACGGCAGCCAUAUUCAGUAACUGGCAUUUGUUACUUUCUGACCCUGACCUAAGUGAUACAGUGAAGAGCAGACCCAUUGUUACUUUUAGGAAAAAUGUCACUAUCCAAGAUUUUCUACAGAAAACAUCCAAACAACAUAAAAGAGAUCGGAGGCAAGAAUCCUGG